UUAGAGUUUGAUCCUGGCUCAGGAUGAACGCUAGCGGCAGGCUUAACACAUGCAAGUCGAGGGGCAGCACGAAGCGGCAACGCUCCGCUGGAGACCGGCGCAGGGGCGCAUAACGCGUAUGCCACCUACCCUCCACCGGGAGAUAACUCAGAGAAACCCGAACUAAUACCCCGUAGACCCGUCCCCCCGCAUGAGGGGGCGGGGAAAGAGCUUGGAUUAUAAAUGGCCCUGCUUGCCUUUAGGGAGUGGGCGGGGCAACGGCCCACCAAGCCUACGAUGCCUAGGGGAGCUGAGAGGCUUACCCCCCACACUGGUACUGAGACACGGACCAGACUCCUACGGGAGGCAGCAGUGAGGAAUAUUGGUCAAUGGGCGGAAGCCUGAUCCAGCCAUGCCGCGUGGAGGACGGAGGCCCUAUGGGUCGUAAACUCCUUUUGCAGCAGAGUAAUAAGGGUCAUGCGGGGCCCGAUGAGAGUAUGCGGCGAAUAAGCAUCGGCUAACUCCGUGCCAGCAGCCGCGGUAAUACGGAGGAUGCGAGCGUUAUCCGGAUUUAUUGGGUUUAAAGGGUGCGUAGGCGGGCCGUUAAGUCAGCGGUGAAAUACCCCGGCCCAACCGGGGGGGUGCCGUUGAUACCGUGGGCCUGGAGUUCGAUCGGCGCCGGCGGAAUAUGCAAUGUAGCGGUGAAAUGCUUAGAUAUUGCACAGAACACCGAUCGCGAAGGCAGCUGGCGAGGACGGCACUGACGCUGAGGCACGAAGGUGCGGGGAUCAAACAGGAUUAGAUACCCUGGUAGUCCGCACAGUAAACGAUGAUGACUAGUUGUCGGCGAUAGACGGUCGGCGACAAAGCGAAAGCGAUAAGUCAUCCACCUGGGGAGUACGAUCGCAAGGUUGAAACUCAAAGGAAUUGACGGGGGCCCGCACAAGCGGAGGAGCAUGUGGUUUAAUUCGAUGAUACGCGAGGAACCUUACCCAGACUCAAAUGGGGGCCGGCAGGCCCGGAGACGCGCCCUCCCUCCGGGGCGGCCUUCAAGGUGCUGCAUGGUUGUCGUCAGCUC
RNAcentral lists this ribosomal RNA (1057 nucleotides) under uncultured bacterium. RNAcentral describes it as "bacterial SSU rRNA". It matches the Rfam family "Bacterial small subunit ribosomal RNA", at positions 1 to 1061 of the family's 1533-position model. The record is from RNAcentral.